GUAUAAGGACAGAUUUGAGGUUUUUCUGUACUUUUAAUGAGCUAGAAAAUGCAUACUAUAAAUAGAAUAUACAAAUGAUUUUACACAAAUGAAGCAUUAAAAAUCACAAAUCUUAUAUUUGGUUAUCCACAGUCUAUAAAAUAAUGUUCCCAAAUUAUAUAGUUUAAAAUACACAAUGUUUCAAGUUGCAAGACAAAACCAGGGUAGUUUUGGCCCUAAAUCAUAGCUAACAUAAGUAGGAAUUAUAAUUAAUUUUAUAAUUGUGUUUAAAUUUUAAAUACUCUAGAAUCUGAAAAUAUUAAAUAUUAAAUAGAUGGAGGGAUCAAAUUAUCAAGUUUUUUAACAAAAUUGAGGUAAAAAUCUGCAUUAAAUUACACCAAGAAAAACAUUUCUAAAACAUUGUUUCCAUAACUCAUUAUAAAUAUUUCAUCUUCCGAAAGUACUCUUUGAUUACCUCUGGCCUUCUGGGUCUGGUAAUUAAGUUGACUUAAUAUUUGCACAUAGCUACUGAUUACUCAAUACAGGCCUAUCAGAUAAAACUAAAAUGCUGCAACUUAAUCAGAAUGAUGCAAUCUUGUCUUAUAUAAAUAUACAAAUCACAGUAUGCUGACACUAGAUAACUUCAGCUUUAUUUGCCAAAGGGGAUUUAGAAUAUACUACAAAAUUGUAUAUAAAAUAACCCUUUACAAGGAUUUACUAGGAUGACUGCAAAGAAAGGCAAAUUAAAUAUACCUGGUCCCAUAUAAGAAUUGUUGCCUAACCUCAUAUACUAAUUUGAAUAUGAAGACUCACUUUUUAUUUCUUAUUUUUUUGAAACAGGGUCUCGCUCUGUCACCCAGGCUGGAGUGCAGUGGUGUGAUCUCAGCUCACUGCAACCUCUGCCUCUUGGGUUCAAGCGAUUCUCCUACCUCAGCCUCACAAGUAGCUGGGACUACAGGCGUGCACCACCAUGCCUGGCUAAUUUUUUGUAUUUUUAGUAGAGAAGGGGUUUCUCCAUGUUGGUCACACUGGUUUUGAACUCCUAAUCUCAGGUGAUCCACCCGCCUCGGACUCCCAAAGUGCUGGGAUUACAGGUAUGCACUACCAUGCCUGUUUGUUUUUUGUUUUUGUUUUUGUAGAGACAGGGGUCUUGCUG
This 1135-nucleotide long non-coding RNA is filed under the name Homo sapiens (human). RNAcentral describes it as "HSALNT0038228". The record is from RNAcentral. Lineage: Eukaryota; Metazoa; Chordata; Mammalia; Primates; Hominidae.